AGUGAACGCUGGCGGUAGGCCUAACACAUGCAAGUCGAACGGCAACACAGUAAGAGCUUGCCCUUACGGGUGGCGAGUGGCGGACGGGUGAGGAAUACAUCGGAAUCUACUUUUUCGUGGGGGACAACGUAGGGAAACUUACGCUAAUACCGCAUAUGAUCUACGGGUGAAAGCAGGGGAUCUUCGGACCUUUCGCGAUUGUAUGAGCCGAUGUCGGAUUAGCUAGUUGGCGGGGUAAAGGCCCACCAAGGCGACGAUCCGUAGCUGGUCUGAGAGGAUGAUCAGCCACACUGGAACUGAGACACGGUCCAGACUCCUACGGGAGGCAGCAGUGGGGAAUAUUGGACAAUGGGCGCAAGCCUGAUCCAGCCAUACCGCGUGGGUGAAGAAGGCCUUCGGGUUGUAAAGCCCUUUUGUUGGGAAAGAAAAGCAGCAGGUUAAUACCCCGCUGUUCUGACGGUACCCAAAGAAUAAGCACCGGCUAACUUCGUG
Molecule: ribosomal RNA, 492 nt
Filed under: uncultured bacterium
Lineage: Bacteria
Description: partial 16S ribosomal RNA
Rfam family: Bacterial small subunit ribosomal RNA
Source: RNAcentral